This 301-nucleotide ribosomal RNA is filed under the name uncultured bacterium. RNAcentral describes it as "partial 16S ribosomal RNA". It matches the Rfam family "Bacterial small subunit ribosomal RNA", at positions 509 to 809 of the family's 1533-position model. The record is from RNAcentral.
CAGUCGCCGCGGUAAUACGUAGGUGGCAAGCGUUGUCCGGAGUUAUUGGGCGUAAAGGGCUCGCAGGCGGUUUCUUAAGUCUGAUGUGAAAGCCCCCGGCUCAACCGGGGAGGGUCAUUGGAAACUGGGAAACUUGAGUGCAGAAGAGGAGAGUGGAAUUCCACGUGUAGCGGUGAAAUGCGUAGAGAUGUGGAGGAACACCAGUGGCGAAGGCGACUCUCUGGUCUGUAACUGACGCUGAGGAGCGAAAGCGUGGGGAGCGAACAGGAUUAGAUACCCCUGUAGUCCCUGUCUCUUAUAA